Molecule: long non-coding RNA, 729 nt
Organism: Callithrix jacchus (white-tufted-ear marmoset)
Lineage: Eukaryota; Metazoa; Chordata; Mammalia; Primates; Cebidae
Source: RefSeq, a predicted model, not a curated record
GUCCGUAAGACCAGAUGCUGCGACAAAUGUUCCAGCGAAAUGAACCUAGAAAAUGAUCCCGGGUGCUCGCUGGGGGAGCAGAGGAUUCCUCAGUUCUAUCGCUAAGGCUUUAACAGACAUCAGUCACAGGAAUCUCCAGCCUCAACAGAAAAAUGCCAGCCAACCCGGCUCCCUGGCACCCCCACCUGGUCCUGCAAGAACAGCUGACUGGCCAUCUGCACGAUCUGGUCCACGUGGAUGAUACCCCCGAUGCUGGUCAUCUCCGUGUCCGAGAGCAGCGUCAGCACCAUGAUGGCUUCCACCAGCAGCUGCCGGUACUCGGGCUGGGGCACGCGGUUCAGCACUGACUCGACGUGGACAGCAAACUUGAUCUCAUGUGGGGUCAUCUAGCAAAGGGACGGGCAGGUGACCACCAGUGAGAGACAGGACAGAGGCAGCCCUAUCACCAAGUAACCAAGGGUGACUGCAUCAUUGCCUGGGAUCGAGGCUCAGCACCACUGCUGCCCCCUUUCUGGUCACUGUCUGGAUUCUGCUGGUGGCAACCCUCAGAGCAAGAGUCAGCCUGUCUGAGCCUGAUUUAUCUACCCUUCCCACCAUAGACUACAGCUUCCAGGGAGCAGUGACCAAUUCUGCUUUCUCUUUCCUCUUCAUUAUUCCUUGCAGCAUAAAGCAUGGUGCUUUGGGUGGGGGAAGACUAACAAAAUCCACAUUAAAAAGAAUGGCAAAUCA